AGGGAGUUAGUUUAAUAAGAACACUUGAUUUCGGCUCAAAUAGCUUUGGUUUAAGCCCAAAACUCCCAA
Molecule: transfer RNA, 69 nt
Filed under: Glyptocidaris crenularis
Lineage: Eukaryota; Metazoa; Echinodermata; Echinoidea; Phymosomatoida; Phymosomatidae
Description: tRNA-Arg
Rfam family: tRNA
About the family: Transfer RNA (tRNA) molecules are approximately 80 nucleotides in length. Their secondary structure includes four short double-helical elements and three loops (D, anti-codon, and T loops). Further hydrogen bonds mediate the characteristic L-shaped molecular structure. tRNAs have two regions of fundamental functional importance: the anti-codon, which is responsible for specific mRNA codon recognition, and the 3' end, to which the tRNAs corresponding amino acid is attached (by aminoacyl-tRNA synthetases). tRNAs cope with the degeneracy of the genetic code in two manners: having more than one tRNA (with a specific anti-codon) for a particular amino acid; and 'wobble' base-pairing, i.e. permitting non-standard base-pairing at the 3rd anti-codon position.
Source: RNAcentral